Small nuclear RNA from Pteronotus mesoamericanus, 108 nucleotides. The record is from RefSeq and is a predicted model, not a curated record. NCBI's taxonomy places the organism in Eukaryota, Metazoa, Chordata, Mammalia, Chiroptera, Mormoopidae.
GUGCUUGCUUCAGCAGCACAUAUACUAAAAUUGGAAUGAUACAGAGAAGAUUAACAUGGCUCCUGCCCAAAGAUGAUUGCAAAUUCCUAAAAAAUAGAGACAUAAGAU